Pelobates cultripes (western spadefoot toad) is the source of this 625-nucleotide non-coding RNA. The record is from the annotation of a GenBank genome assembly. Lineage: Eukaryota; Metazoa; Chordata; Amphibia; Anura; Pelobatidae.
CUUGGAUAUAAGAGUUCAGAGAUCCAAGAGGAAUUGAAUUGAAUGGAAAGAGUAUAGUACACAAUUAUAUUUGACCUAAGUCUAUAAAGGUAUGGACUAGGGAGAAUAGGUUUCUGGAUAUGAUGGUAUCCAAUGAAUACAUUGUUAAGUUGUUUUAUGAUUUCCCUGAGUUUGUUAGACACAGACUAGGAAUAAGAGUUUCUGGGCAGUAUGACCCCAAGUUUAUUUUUGUUUAUUUUAUUUUAGUCAGUUGAAGUGUACUAAGGAAUAUGGAUUGGUCAGAACAUUAGGACAAGCCUGCUUUUAAGGUGUAUUACAUUAAUAAGUCAUCACAAUGCUAAUGAAGAGAGUGAUGAUAAUUAAUUUAAAUUAUUCUUUCCAAGUUAUUUUAAAGUAAACUAUGUUUCUAUGGAAUGAAAAGUUUGUUACUACAAGGUGGAAUUUUAGUGAAAAUUAUAAUUAUGUAAACAAAAACAAAUCUAUGUUAGAAAGAUUUCUGGGUGGAGAAUUUCUAGGACAAUAAGUAUUGUCAACACCAUGAACAUUAUUUGAAGAAUUAUUAUAGAACUUCAUGGUUGAUAACACAUCCUUUGAAUGAGUCUUAUAAGUAGUGUUGAUAUAUUUC